AUUGAACGCUGGCGGCAGGCCUAACACAUGCAAGUCGAGCGGAUGAAGGGAGCUUGCUCCUGGAUUCAGCGGCGGACGGGUGAGUAAUGCCUAGGAAUCUGCCUGGUAGUGGGGAUAACGUCCGGAAACGGGCGCUAAUACCGCAUACGUCCUGCGGGAGAAAGUGGGGGAUCUUCGGACCUCACGCUAUCAGGUGAGCCUAGGUCGGCUUAGCUCGUUGGUGGGGUAAAGGCCUACCCAGGCGACGAUCCGUAACUGGUCUGAGAGGAUGAUCAGUCACACUGGAAGUGAGACACGGUCCAGACUCCUACGGGAGGCAGCAGCGUGGAAUAUUGGACAGUGGGCGAAAGCCCGAUCCAGGCAUGCCGCGGGUGUGAAGAAGGUCCUCGGAUUGUAAAGCACUUUAAGUUGGGAGGAAGGGCAGUAAGUUAAGACCUUGAUGUUGUGACGGUACCAACAGAAGAAGCACCGGCUAACUUCGUG
This 483-nucleotide ribosomal RNA is filed under the name uncultured bacterium. RNAcentral describes it as "partial 16S ribosomal RNA". It matches the Rfam family "Bacterial small subunit ribosomal RNA", at positions 30 to 507 of the family's 1533-position model. The record is from RNAcentral.